This 916-nucleotide ribosomal RNA is filed under the name Paenibacillus sp. CECRI-14/07. RNAcentral's name for it is "partial 16S ribosomal RNA". It matches the Rfam family "Bacterial small subunit ribosomal RNA". Lineage: Bacteria; Bacillati; Bacillota; Bacilli; Caryophanales; Paenibacillaceae. The record is from RNAcentral.
GAAGGCUGUUUUACAUUUGAGUACCGGCAAUCAGCCUUUGAUUACCUCAGGAAGUCGUAACAAGGUAACCAGUAUUGGAUCCUCUAGAGUUUGAUCCUGGCUCACCAAAUGCUAGCAAAGACUACCGGAUACGGUCCCUUAUACCUUAUAUCUGCUUCCUUCGCCUGAAGGAAACUGGAAAGACGGAGCAAUCUGUCACUUGAGGAUGGGCCUGCGGCGCAUUAGCUAGUUGGUGAGGUAACGGCUCACCAAGGCGACGAUGCGUAGCCGACCUGAGAGGGUGAUCGGCCACACUGGACUGAGACACGGCCCAAACUCCUACUGGAGGCAGCAGUAGGGAAUCUUCCGCAAUGGGCGAAAGCCUGACGGACAAUGCCGCGUGAGUGAUGAAGUUUUCGGAUCGUAAAGGUCUGUUGCCAGGGAAGAACGGCAGAAGAGUAAUGCUCCUGUGUGGACGGUAGCUGAAUGAAGGGCCGGGAAUAGUUCCUUCGCCGCCCUCCCGGGAAAACUCAGACCGGUCGGCCAUGGUUGUCGUCACCCCCUGUCUCGAGAUGUUGGGUUAAGUCCCGCAACGAGCGCAACCCUUGAUUCUAGUUCCCAGCACUUCGGGUGGGCACUCUAAGGUGACUGCCGGUGACAAACCGGAGGAAGGUGGGGAUGACGUCAAAUCAUCAUGCCCCUUAUGACCUGGGCUACACACGUACUACAAUGGCCGGUACAACGGGCAGUGAAGCCGCGAGGUGGAACCAAUCCUAAAAAGCCGGUCUCAGUUCGGAUUGUAGGCUGCAACUCGCCUACAUGAAGUCGGAAUUACUAGUAAUGGCGAUCAGCAUUUGCGUGAAACGUAAGGUAACAAGAACAGUAGGAUCUUAGAGGGUCUGGCCGUAGCUAACAUAGUACACUCUUAGAUGAGCAG